ACACUUCCAAAUUUCUUUCACAGGAGAAGAGAACAACCUCGGAGCAGUGCCUGAAGUGUAGCUGUGAUGAGUCAUUGAUCAGUUAGAAAGCAGUUCACAGGCAUUUGGUCACCAGCUCUAUCCACAGGAAUGAGUAUCUGCCAGGAACAGGUUUUGGGGCCAAGCCAUAUCUGCCAUGAUCAGCAAAAGGUGCGCACAUCAUUCCCAGAGACAGCAGGAGAGAGACACUUACUGAAGCAAGCAGUCUGCCGGGAUUGUGCCUGCUCCAUGGAGGGCAUGAGGCUUACAUCAUGCAGCAGUGUGGAUUUCCUUUCUUUCCUGAACCCUUUCCCUGCCGUGUGUUAGUUCCUGACUGGAGACCCA
This 363-nucleotide long non-coding RNA is filed under the name Fukomys damarensis (Damara mole-rat). Its description in RNAcentral is "lncRNA (ENSFDAG00000024470.1)". The record is from RNAcentral. Lineage: Eukaryota; Metazoa; Chordata; Mammalia; Rodentia; Bathyergidae.